CAAAACCAGUCGUUCUCCCCGCAGGCAACUCCAUAUCCAGCGCGCGUGCUCCGCCUCCCCAAUGCAAAUUGGUUUUCCCAACGCCGCUGGCCGGCAUCUCCCUCUCCCUCGACCUCCCCAGCGGCCUGCCCUCCUGUCCCCAAAUCCAGGCGAGGCAUGUGGGCGGCGGCGGCGGCGGCGAGGUGCGCCUCCCUCUCCCUCGAGAUUCGACCUCACCGGCGUCCUCUCCCCCAGUCCAUGCGGUGCGAGGCAUGAGGACGGCGGCGGCGGCGAGGUGACUACGACGCAACGGAGGUGAGGUGAGGCGACGGGACCACGGCACGAUCUAGGUUGGGCGCAUCGACGGCGCGGAGUCUCCCCUCCACGACAAUAAACUCGUCCACGCCCUCCUCUACUCCAGGGCCAGCCUAGGUUGAAUCAUGGGCAUUGCGUAAGGCAAUGGAUUCAUGGAGGUAGAGAUGGAAGAACAAUUUUUUAGGUGAUUCGUAAUUUCUUCUUUGACUCGAUGAAACGGAAUCCUCAGAAAAUACUCUUGUCUCUUCCUUUAUAGCUCAUAUAAGGCCUAUGCAAUUCCUUAGUUCCAGACUAUUGUGAACCUCGGAGGACUAAGGGAUAAAUUCCUCUCAUGGACUCUUAAUCGAUUGACAAUAAACUGGAUGGCGAGCCAUGAAGCAAUUAAGAGCGAGAAGCAUGGUGGCAAGGGAGAGAGCGCCAAUGGUUGCUGGAGAAGAUGUCAAGUCUUCGUCAUGACACGCGGUUGAGGCCAUAUAUAGGUUGUGUUCAAGAUUUGUUUUGAUCAAAUAUAGCCACCCUGAUCAAAUCAUCUAUAUUGUUUCGUUGCAAUGCGUUGGCACAUUGAUAUAUACCAUGCAUUUGAGAACUGUAGACCUUUAUUUAUUGAAAUGGCUUAAGAUUUUUGCCCAUCUGCAGGAUAAUGUCUGUAUGAUGUCAAAUCAUAAAACACAGCAUCCAACACUUCAGUUAUAUUUAAGCUAGACAGACAGAGUGACUACGUCAGCGACACCAAUCAAGAGUGAAAGUGUCACCGAUCGACACAUUCAAGAAUAGUGGCAAGGGACCGGAAGUCAGAUGGCUCUAACAAGCAGGAGCACCUGCAGGGCACACAUCAUUAUUUCAAUGACACCAAGGUCGCGUCGGAGUUUGACAUGAUGUCCUUGCCCUACUACACUCCAUUCAGCGGCAUGGUUAGUAUGACUACAAAGAUGCACUAGAGAAAUGGUCAGGCAAGCUCGCGGAGUUGAGCAUGGGAAAGCAGCCAGAGAACGGCUAUGGUUGAUGUUCUGAUUAGAGGUUCAGAGUGUGGGGGGCAUGGUAAAAUUCAUCCCUUCUUUUGAAAUUUGUAGGAAACCAGAAACAAGGGCACUCUUGUAUAUAUGACGACACUUGGUCCUGCUUGUGUUAACAGAUAGUUUUGUCAGAGAGGAAAGCAACUCUUUUUGAAAUGAACUUGUAUGUAAGUUGUAGUUUCAAUGCAAUUUUUUAUUUUUUUAUUUGUUAGUUGUAGGCAGCCGGAUGUAAUGUUGUGAUUCCCUUUUUAUAAUGUUGAAAUAAAGCCAUAUUUCAGAUAAAUAGUUUGUGUA
Molecule: long non-coding RNA, 1601 nt
Organism: Triticum aestivum (bread wheat)
Lineage: Eukaryota; Viridiplantae; Streptophyta; Magnoliopsida; Poales; Poaceae
Exons: 4
Source: RefSeq, a predicted model, not a curated record